RNAcentral lists this long non-coding RNA (1708 nucleotides) under Manihot esculenta (cassava). RNAcentral's name for it is "long non-coding RNA (MESC_LNC005505)". The record is from RNAcentral. Lineage: Eukaryota; Viridiplantae; Streptophyta; Magnoliopsida; Malpighiales; Euphorbiaceae.
UGAGCCCUCCGCCGUCCCUCACCGAUCUUUGAUGUUUUUCCUCAAGAUCUUUCAAGUUUUUCAUGUGUUUUAACUUUGUUUUGAAGAUUUGAGCUUUUGAGCAAAGUUUUGGAGCUUGGAGGUUCAAGAAUCCAACUUCUCCCACCUUCGAGUUUUAGGUCGUCUCUCUCUCGAUCUUCAAGAGGUAAGAGCCGAUCUUAAGCUCAUUGUAUGUUUUAAAUAAGUUUUAUGCAAGAUCUUUGGGGUAGAAAUGCAUGUGUAGGUUUUAGUGAGUUAUGGAUGAUUUUUGAGUUUAUGGACAAUGUGGCUUGCAAAUGCUUGUGUAUGUGUGUUGUAGUUGGGGUUUAAGUUAGUUUGAGACCCCUAGGAGCUUGUGUGCAUGUUUUGGUUGAGCUAAAUGCAUGUUGGUAUGAGUUUGAGGCGUUUUGUGCAUGCUUGAACCAAGUUUCUGCCCUUUUGGGAGAAACCAGGUUCGGCAGCCGAAGGGACUUUCGGCCGCCGAACCCCCUUGUGGAGGCAGCCUUCGGCUGCCGAAGCUUGCCCCCGAAAGGAGACUUUCGUCUCUGUCUGGGAGUUUCGGCCGCCGAAAGUGCCGCCAAACAUGCAUGAGUUUCGUCUCUGUCUGGGAGUUUCGGCCGCCGAAGGUGCCGCCGAACCUGCCUGACUUUCGGCUCUGGAGGGACUUUCGGCCGCUGAAAGUGCCCUGUUCAGCCUUCCUUUGCAUGUUCUUGCAUGGAUGUUUUGAGAUGUUUUAGAGGGUUUUUGGGAGAUGUUUUAGAGUUAUGUUAUAGUAUGUUGGUCCCUCAUUUGAGUCCACCUGUGUAGGUUCGGACCCGAGGAACCGAGGACCCCAGCAGUGAGUCAGCUGCUUCAGUCAGUGUCAGAGCUAGCCAGAGGUGAGUGGAAUAACCCUUAUGCUUUUAAAUAAAUAAAUCAAUUUUGAGCAUGUUCAUGCAUCACGGUUGCCAUGUGAUAUUUUAGGUUGUUUGCAUUAGAAAUCACGAAUAUGUUGCAUUGCAUAAAAUGUUGUUGAUGUGGAUGAAUGUUGAAUGAUCCAUUAGCCCUCAUAUGUUAUGACAUGAUGAUAUGAUAUGGAAGUCCAGAUGUGGCCUGCACUACGCCCCUGGCACUAUGUAAGAGAAAGACCGGACGUGGCCUGCAUUACGCCCCCGGCACCAUGGAAUAUGUAUGUUAUGUUAUGUAUAAGAGAAAGACCAGGUGUGGCCUGCACUACGCCCCUGGCAUGAUUGGAUUAUGUAGAGGGCUAAAUGGUGACAAGUUCAUCCUUGAUAUGAUUAGUUGUGAUGUGAUGCAUUCCAUGAUAGCAUGUGUUUUAAAUGCUUUAUGAUUCUGCUCACUGGGCUCUUGUAGCUCACCCCUCUCCCAAAUUCCCCAGGUUUGCAGGUACGGGUUAGACAGAGAAGUCAAGAAGAGUAAUGAAGUCAUAUGUAUGUAAUAGUUAGAAUGUGGACAUAACAGAUUGUAUAAUGAUGUAUAGACAUGUAAUGUAACAAUAUUGAGAUUAGAAGUGUGCUUGACCAUAGUAUAAUGUAAUCCCUUGUUGAUGCAUGAUCUUAAUGUUAUUAAUGUCCAUGUUUAGCCAACUCAACACAUGUAUUGCCCCAUUGGGGGCAUUGAUGAGAUCCCACAGAGGGGUCAAGUUUAUGAUUAUGUAUAAGUUCAGUGCAUGCACAGGUUGAGUUUGGUG